RNAcentral lists this ribosomal RNA (253 nucleotides) under uncultured bacterium. RNAcentral describes it as "partial 16S ribosomal RNA". It matches the Rfam family "Bacterial small subunit ribosomal RNA", at positions 524 to 776 of the family's 1533-position model. The record is from RNAcentral.
UACGGGGGGUGCAAGCGUCGCUCGGAAUCACUGGGCGUAAAGCGAGCGCAGGCGGUUGAGAAGGUCGAAUGUGAAAGCCCCAGGCUCAACCUGGGAUGUGCAUUCGAAACCGCUCGACUUGAACACAGAAGGGGAGAGUAGAAUUUGCGGUGUAGAGGUGAAAUUCGUAGAUAUCGUAAGGAACACUCGUGGCGAAGGCGGCUCUCUGGUCUGUUGUUGACGCUCAUGAUCGAAAGCGUGGGGAGCAAACAGG